Molecule: unclassified non-coding RNA, 328 nt
Filed under: soil metagenome
Description: partial contains 5.8S ribosomal RNA, internal transcribed spacer 2, and large subunit ribosomal RNA
Rfam family: 5.8S ribosomal RNA (bases 1-120)
Source: RNAcentral
GAUGAAGAACGUAGCGAAAUGCGAUAAGUAAUGUGAAUUGCAGAAUUCAGUGAAUCAUCGAAUCUUUGAACGCACAUUGCGCCCCUUGGUAUUCCAAGGGGCAUGCCUGUUCGAGCGUCAUUAUAACCCUCAAGCUCAGCUUGGUGUUGGGGCCUGCUGCACUGGCAGCCCUUAAAAUCAGUGGCGGCGCCAUCUGGCUCUAAGCGUAGUAAUUCUUCUCGCUAUGAAGUCCUGGUGGAUGCUUGCCAUCAACCCCCAAUUUUUCUAUGGUUGACCUCGGAUCAGGUAGGGAUACCCGCUGAACUUAAGCAUAUCAAUAAGCGGAGGA